AAACAGGGUGGAAACUGGAAAGAUCCAGAUUAUUAAUGUCCCAGCAGCAAGAGUACAGAAGCCAUAAACGGUAGUUAAGAUAGUUAAGACAAUAAGAGUAAAUACGACAUCCAAAGUCUUAGGAUAUUACAGAGAUUAGAGAAAAAGAGAUGGUAGGUCACUAACUGUACCGAGGCCAUUCUUGAAAGCGACUGAAGAAGAAGGCUCGGUGAAAAGAAAUGGCAGAAAAAUCACUUCCACUUCUUGAAUUUUCCUCCACCGAACAUGCCGUGCUUUCCAUGUUUGUGCUUCCCAAACUUCCCAUGCUUGAACUUCCCAUGGUGCUUGAAUUUUCCUCCAUGACCAUGACCAUAAUGAGCAACACCAUGGGGGUAAUGGCCAGCACUAUGGGCCACAUGAUGAGCGCCAUAUGCUGCUGCUGCAGCGGCAGCACCCCCGGCGAGCAUUCCUGCUACACCGUGCCCUGAAUGGUGUGGAGCAGAGGGUCCAGGAUAUGCACCAGGAGGAUAAGCACCCGGAGGGUAGCCAGCCGGGGGGUAACCAUGUGCCGGGGGAUAUCCUUGGGGUGGAUAGCCAUGAGAUGGAGGAUACCCUCCAGGUGGGGGGUACCCUCCAUGAGGUGGAUAUCCUCCUGCUGGAGGAUAUCCAGCUCCAUGAGCAACACCAUGAGCCAGAUGCGAGAAUAAACCUUUGUCAGAUUCAUCAUGUUUAUCUUUUCCACCCCCCAUGGUUUAAUAGCUUAUAAUAAAGAUCAAACGGACGAUAUUGUUCUUCGGAUAAGAAGAGAGAGAUGAGGAGAAUUGAAUUCUUGAAGAAUUCGUUAUAUAUAUGUAAAGAGAGAAGCAGUGGAAGCGAUUAAGAUUAAG
This 866-nucleotide unclassified non-coding RNA is filed under the name Hevea brasiliensis (rubber tree). The record is from RNAcentral. Lineage: Eukaryota; Viridiplantae; Streptophyta; Magnoliopsida; Malpighiales; Euphorbiaceae.